AGUGAACGCUGGCGGCAGGCCUAAUACAUGCAAGUCGAACGGCAGCACAGCAGAGCUUGCUCUGUGGGUGGCGAGUGGCGGACGGGUGAGGAAUACAUGGGAAUCUGCCCAGUCGUGGGGGAUAACGUAUGGAAACGUACGCUAAUACCGCAUGCGCCCUACGGGGGAAAGUCGGGGACCGCAAGGCCUGACGCGAUUGGAUGAGCCCAUGUUCGAUUAGCUAGUUGGCGGGGUAAAGGCCCACCAAGGCGACGAUCGAUAGCUGGUCUGAGAGGAUGAUCAGCCACACUGGAACUGAGACACGGUCCAGACUCCUACGGGAGGCAGCAGUAGGGAAUAUUGGACAAUGGGGGCAACCCUGAUCCAGCCAUGCCGCGUGAGUGAAGAAGGCCCUCGGGUUGUAAAGCUCUUUUGUCCGGAAAGAAAAGCAAUCGGUUAAUACCCGGUUGUUCUGACGGUACCGGAAGAAUAAGCACCGGCUAACUUCGU
Molecule: ribosomal RNA, 489 nt
Filed under: uncultured bacterium
Lineage: Bacteria
Description: bacterial SSU rRNA
Rfam family: Bacterial small subunit ribosomal RNA
Source: RNAcentral